RNAcentral lists this ribosomal RNA (437 nucleotides) under uncultured Clostridium sp. Its description in RNAcentral is "partial 16S ribosomal RNA". It matches the Rfam family "Bacterial small subunit ribosomal RNA", at positions 341 to 792 of the family's 1533-position model. Lineage: Bacteria; Bacillati; Bacillota; Clostridia; Eubacteriales; Clostridiaceae. The record is from RNAcentral.
ACGGGAGGCAGCAGUGGGGAGUAUUGCACAAUGGAGGAAACUCUGAUGCAGCAACGCCGCGUGAGGGAAGAAGGUCUUCGGAUUGUAAACCUAAGUUUUUGGGGACGAAUCAAGUGACGGUACCCAAAGAGAAAGCUCCGGCUAACUACGUGCCAGCAGCCGCGGUAAUACGUAGGGAGCGAGCGUUGUCCGGAUUUACUGGGUGUAAAGGGUGCGUAGGCGGGUCAUCAAGUCAGGCGUGAAAACCCGGGGCUUAACUCCGGGAGUGCGUUUGAAACUGUUGAUCUUGAGUGAAGUAGAGGCAAGCGGAAUUCCUAGUGUAGCGGUGAAAUGCGUAGAUAUUAGGAGGAACACCAGUGGCGAAGGCGGCUUGCUGGGCUUUAACUGACGCUGAGGCACGAAAGCAUGGGGAGCAAACAGGAUUAGAUACCCUGGUA